CCGCGGCCCCGCAACAGGCACCGGGACACGUCUGCUUCCGAGCGGGGCGGGACGCUCCGCAUCCACAUCCGGGGCGGCCGCGGGGCGGGGCGGGGUUUGGGCUCCGCCGAGGGACGGACGGACGGCGGGUGUAGCGCGGCGGUACUGAGGGCUUAUUAGUAAAGGAUGGAUUUCACAGAGGCAUAUUCCGACCGGUGUUCCGCUGUGGGGCUUGCAGCAAGAGAAGGGAAUGCUGAAGUGCUGCAGAAGCUGAUCGGGCAGGGAUACAGCCUUGAUGUCCCUGACAACAGAGGCUGGAUGCCAAUCCACGAGGCGGCAGCUCACUAUUCCAGCAAAUGUCUGAGGCUGCUCAUUAAUGCGGCUCCAUCUGAUAACUACAUACAUUCCAAGACAUUUGAAGGGAUGAGUGCGCUGCACCUUUCUGCACGCUGUGGGUCCUUGGAGUGUGUUGGGGUUCUUCUGGAAGCUGGAGUUGAUCCUGACCAAGUUACCACCGAAUCAAACACCGCCCUCUUCCUAGCUGUUGAAAACGGGCAUGCAGAUGUUGUCAGGUUUCUGAUCCAACAUGGAGCAAGUGUUGAAGGAUCUCAUUCCUGGUCUGGGUGGAAUUCUUUGCACCAAGCUGCAUUUCAGCAACACGUUGAGAUAAUGAAAAUACUCCUGGACAAAAGAGCAAACAUCGAGUGUAAGGAUGACUUUGGAAUUACACCACUGUUUGUUGCUGCUCAGUAUGGAAAGCUGGAGAGCUUGAGAACGCUUAUAUCCCAUGGUGCAGACGUCAACUGCCAGGCCAAAGACAGAGCCACUCCACUACUGAUUGCUGCGCAGGAGGGCCACGCCAAGUGUGUGGAGCUGUUAAUAUCAGAAGGGGCAGAUCCAAAUCUGUACUGCAAUGAAGAUAACUGGCAGUUGCCUAUUCACGCAGCAGCUGAGAUGGGCCAUAAAAAUAUAUUAGAGUUGCUAAUACCAAUUACCAAUCGGAUUUGCGACAAAGGAAAAGGCAAAGUGAGCCCCGUGUAUUCUGCAAUUUAUGGUGGGAAUAAAGAAUGUUUGGAAAUGUUACUUAAAGAAGGUUACAGUCCAGAUGCUCAGGAGUGCCCAACCUUCAGCUGCAGAUCACCCAUGUGUAUGAUUUUCCAAAGAAAGUUUUUUAAUUUAAUUGAUACUCUUCUGAACUACGGGAUCACGCUGCUUGGGAUAAAUUUGGGAUACUGCCUGUACCAUGACAAGUUUGCUUUGUUUCGACGCUUCUUGAAGAUAUGCUGUCCACUGCCUUCUCAGCAGGAGCUACCAGAGUUUCUAAGCUGUGCAAUUAAAGCCCUUGAUGAGUACAAGGAAUGGCUGCCUUAUCUGCUCUCAGCUGGCUUUGAUCCAGUGAAUUUACUCUACAGAUUCUGGAUUAACUCUCUGGGUGAGGAUGCUCUUAAUUUAAUUCUGGAGUUUACGAACUGGAAGAGGCUUCCUCCAGCUGUCGAGGAGGACCUUGCAAACUACAAAGAGAAGUUCACUUGGACUCCCAGGAGCCAUUUUGCUGUCAUUCCUUCCCUGUCUCACCUUUGUCGCCUUGAGAUCCGGUCCAUCUUAGGGAGUGAACGUCUGCGAUCUGACCGGUUUAUCCGGGCUUUGCCCUUGCCAGUCUGCCUGCAGGACGACCUGCUGUACCUACAGCUGCUGCGUGUCAGCACUGUGCCAGGAGCAGAGGAGAACCUGAGGCACAGCGAGGAGGGAGCUCCCUCUGCUGCUGCCUCCACCUCUGACCAUACAGAGAACAGGGAUGCCCGUAAUUCCCCUGCUAGGUGAUGGCACUGAACUCGGUGGCUGCAGACAUUGUAAAGGCAGACAACAGAGAACUACUGAUCUCAACUUGAGUGAAUACCAAGUGAAAGCACAUAGAGUUUCUUUCUUUUUAAGGUGGUCUAAUGGAUGAAGCAGAGAGAAAGCCCCAGAGCACUCCUAACAGGUAGGAACUUGCGCAUACUCCUUUGUUUAACAGCAUUCUUCAAAUAGAAGCUGACAACUUUAUAUAACCUUGACUAUUCAGAUUUGCAUAAGAAGGGCUUUAUCUCUGGUUAGGACUCUGUGAACCAUCACUGCACAUCUUCACCACCAGCACUUACACAGUCUCAUAGACAAAGCAGCUGAGAUCUGAGGACCUCCCCCAGGAAGGCACUGUUUCCUUCAAACAGUAGUGCUUCCUAUCCCCCUUUCUGUUAGUUCUUAUGGAAAAAGUGCUUUACUACCUACUGUGUCGCCAACCACUGUACGUUCAGAAGCACCUCCUAGAUGGAUAGAAGGAUAUACCUUACAGAGACCAGUGUUCUAUAAAACCCAGUAACACAGGAGAGAAAAGGCCCUUUGUGAUCACAUUACACAAAGUCUUCAGCAGAAACUGUUUUGGCAUAAGAAAAACUACAUUUAUGUCCUGUAAAGAAUAAAAGGCUUUCUCACAAAUUAUUGCCUAAAACUAGAUUUUCUCAAAGCCAACACUCUCUCCUCACUUCAUGUGCCAAGUUAUAGACAAUUUUACAAUGUCAAGGAGAAAACCCCGAAACUUCCAUUUGGAUAUCACAGUCCUCUGUUAAGAUACUGCAGCUUACCAUGGAAAGCAGGACAGCUGAUUUGCUUGCUUUAUAAACAUGCUCGAAAUGAUUUUAUACACUUACGUUGCGAAUGUAAGUGAUGCCAAGUUCGAAUAGUAAACCAAUGUCUGAAGAUAAGGAAUUGGACCUGACAAAACAGUCACCAUCCAGUAAGCUGGGUGAAAUGCCUGUUACCUUUACAGAGGGGGAAGAAAUAACAAUGUACAUGUUAAGAAAAAGAAAGCCAGCAGUCACCUCUGAAUUCUAAAGUCAAUUAAACACAUCACUAAUUUACAUAAGAUCUCAGACCCAACCCCAUUGCAUAUAGAAGAAAAUGAGAAGUGGAGAACCAAUUUGAGUUGAAACCAUUGCUCUGUUUAUUCUUCACGUUGCCUUUAACCACGGCUGUGCUACGAAGCACAGAUACCUACCCUUGCAGAAAAGGUCCACGUCUGAGGGUUUUUAGGUUGCCACGUAGCUCUCACUGUAUGAAUGUUACUCAGUACCUAAAACAUGAUAGUAGGGAAAAAUGCUAAAACAAGUUUUAGCAGCAGUGCCAGGGCCUCACCACCCUGUAAGUAAGAAAUCUGAGCAUGACCCUGCCCCAAAUAUUCCCAGGCCCAUCAGAGAGAACAGAGCAGCCCAAACAGGGCUCACCUCCACUAACACAAAGAAGCACAACAACAGGUGGAAGAACCAAAACUGUGGAUGCACAGAAAUGGAGUCCCCACCCCAGCCCCUCCCAGGGCUAUCUAUGAGCUGGGUGUGACACCCAUCAAGAUGAGUUAACAUGAGGGACACCCAGUAUCACAGCCAAAAAAGGGUGCUGCUUAGGGCUGGGAGGCCCUGUAGGGAGGGAGGAAGAGAGAACAUCUUGGGACUGCAGGUGCGUAAUGUGAUGUUCAGAGGAGGAACCACGGCAGAAAGAAGACUGAGGUGGUUUGUGGAAUGCACUGAGUGGGACAUUACAGGGGUAAGGGGAUAAAGCAGUGUGCUUGUGAGAAGGCUGCUAUGCAUGCCUGGCCAUGCCCUGCCCCUGAUCAGUGCAGUUUAUCCUGUCUUCUCAUUCAACUUCAUUUCUCACUCUUCUUUUUUUCCUUUGUACGCAUGAAUGGGCUCUCUGUUCUGUGUGCAUGCGCAUGGAGGCCCAAGUUUCAGCAACCAGAGGCAGCCCACAAGUCGCAGGAAGACUACAUGUGACUGCAACUGAAUGAGAGUACACACCUCAGCAUGCUGUAUCAAGCCAGACUAAUAGGCAAGCAGGUUGAGCAGCCUGGGAGCCAGUUCUGAGUAUAUGUCUCUGAGGCAACUGGAGGAGAUGGCUACCAGAGGGACCAGAGCAUCACGUACACCUCAUCAAGACCUCUGUUGAUAAUCAAACUUACCCGACUGCCAUCGAAUAGACAGAGUCGAACGUGUCUACUGAGAACCUGAAUGCUGGAUGCUGGGAGAGGAAUCGUUUUACAGCUACACAAAGUUACAAUCAGGGAUACUCGAGUUGGUAUAGGGCAGAUCUGAAACACAGGCAACAAAAGAAGGAGUAAAUCUAGAGGUUCUUUCUGCACAUGGUUAUCAUUUUGUGUUCAUUUACAGAGAUGACUGACAGUAGUAACUAUUGGACUGGAUUCCUUGACCCACAAAACUAGCAUCGUACUGGUGGCAGCAGCAACAUUUCUUCAUGUACAUAAGAUGUUAAAACAUAUAUUGCCUAAAGACUCUAGGUUGACAGUGAAGAACUCUAUCGUUAUUUCACAGCAAAAUUGAUCUACUAAUACAAAACUUCUUUUUUUUAA
Coturnix japonica (Japanese quail) is the source of this 4372-nucleotide RNA transcript. It is a transcript of the gene named ankyrin repeat and SOCS box containing 3, with no coding region annotated. NCBI's taxonomy places the organism in Eukaryota, Metazoa, Chordata, Aves, Galliformes, Phasianidae. The record is from RefSeq and is a predicted model, not a curated record.